UCGGGAAUAUUGGACAAUGGGCGCAAGCCUGAUCCAGCAAUACCGCGUGUGUGAAGAAGGCCUGCGGGUUGUAAAGCACUUUCAGUUGGGAAGAUAAUGACGUUACCAACAGAAGAAGCACCGGCUAACUCCGUGCCAGCAGCCGCGGUAAUACGGAGGGUGCAAGCGUUAAUCGGAAUUACUGGGCGUAAAGCGCACGUAGGCGGUUUUCUAAGUCAGAUGUGAAAUCCCCGGGCUUAACCUGGGAACUGCACCUGAUACUGGAAGACUAGAAUGUGGGAGAGGAGAGUGGAAUUUCCGGUGUAGCGGUGAAAUGCAUAGAGAUCGGAAGGAACACCAGUGGCGAAGGCGGCUCUCUGGACCAACAUUGACGCUGAGGUGCGAAAGCGUGGGUAGCAAA
This 400-nucleotide ribosomal RNA is filed under the name uncultured bacterium. RNAcentral's name for it is "bacterial SSU rRNA". It matches the Rfam family "Bacterial small subunit ribosomal RNA", at positions 355 to 772 of the family's 1533-position model. The record is from RNAcentral.